Molecule: ribosomal RNA, 440 nt
Filed under: uncultured Lelliottia sp.
Lineage: Bacteria; Pseudomonadati; Pseudomonadota; Gammaproteobacteria; Enterobacterales; Enterobacteriaceae
Description: bacterial SSU rRNA
Rfam family: Bacterial small subunit ribosomal RNA
Source: RNAcentral
GGAAUAUUGCACAAUGGGCGCAAGCCUGAUGCAGCCAUGCCGCGUGUAUGAAGAAGGUCUUCGGGUUGUAAAGUACUUUCAGCGAGGAGGAAGGCAUUGUGGUUAAUAACCACAGUGAUUGACGUUACUCGCAGAAGAAGCACCGGCUAACUCCGUGCCAGCAGCCGCGGUAAUACGGAGGGUGCAAGCGUUAAUCGGAAUUACUGGGCGUAAAGCGCACGCAGGCGGUCUGUCAAGUCGGAUGUGAAAUCCCCGGGCUCAACCUGGGAACUGCAUUCGAAACUGGCAGGCUAGAGUCUUGUAGAGGGGGGUAGAAUUCCAGGUGUAGCGGUGAAAUGCGUAGAGAUCUGGAGGAAUACCGGUGGCGAAGGCGGCCCCCUGGACAAAGACUGACGCUCAGGUGCGAAAGCGUGGGGAGCAAACAGGAUUAGAUACCCCUG